CGAUGAACCUCUUCGGAGGGGAUUAGUGGCGAACGGGUGAGUAACACGUGGGCAAUCUGCCCUGCACUCUGGGACAAGCCCUGGAAACGGGGUCUAAUACCGGAUACGACCAUCUCGGGCAUCCGAUGGUGGUGGAAAGCUCCGGCGGUGCAGGAUGAGCCCGCGGCCUAUCAGCUUGUUGGUGGGGUGAUGGCCUACCAAGGCGACGACGGGUAGCCGGCCUGAGAGGGCGACCGGCCACACUGGGACUGAGACACGGCCCAGACUCCUACGGGAGGCAGCAGUGGGGAAUAUUGCACAAUGGGCGGAAGCCUGAUGCAGCGACGCCGCGUGAGGGAUGACGGCCUUCGGGUUGUAAACCUCUUUCAGCAGGGAAGAAGCGCAAGUGACGGUACCUGCAGAAGAAGCACCGGCUAACUACGUGCCAGCAGCCGCGGUAAUACGUAGGGUGCGAGCGUUGUCCGGAAUUAUUGGGCGUAAAGAGCUCGUAGGCGGCUUGUCGCGUCGGAUGUGAAAGCCCGGGGCUUAACCCCGGGUCUGCAUUCGAUACGGGCAGGCUAGAGUUCGGUAGGGGAGAUCGGAAUUCCUGGUGUAGCGGUGAAAUGCGCAGAUAUCAGGAGGAACACCGGUGGCGAAGGCGGAUCUCUGGGCCGAUACUGACGCUGAGGAGCGAAAGCGUGGGGAGCGAACAGGAUUAGAUACCCUGGUAGUCCACGCCGUAAACGUUGGGAACUAGGUGUGGGCGACAUUCCACGUCGUCCGUGCCGCAGCUAACGCAUU
This 780-nucleotide ribosomal RNA is filed under the name Streptomyces xinghaiensis. RNAcentral describes it as "bacterial SSU rRNA". It matches the Rfam family "Bacterial small subunit ribosomal RNA", at positions 67 to 861 of the family's 1533-position model. Lineage: Bacteria; Bacillati; Actinomycetota; Actinomycetes; Kitasatosporales; Streptomycetaceae. The record is from RNAcentral.